AAUCAGCGGGAAAAGAAGACCUUGUUGAGCUUGACUCUAAUCUGACCCUGUGAAAAGACUUGAGAUGUGUAGAAUAGGAGGGAGUAGCAAUAGAUCUGUGAAAUACCACUAAUCUUAUCGUUUUUUACUUACCCGAUGAAGCGGAAGCAAACCGCAAGGUUCCCGUUUGGAUUUGAGGUCUCUCUUUUGCAGGCCGAUCCGUGUCAAAGACACUAUCAGGUUGGGAGUUUGGCCGGAGCUCAAUGAGAACAGAAAUCUCAAACAAAAGGGUAAAGGCUCACUUGAUUUUGAUUUUCAGUAUGAAUACAAACUGUGAAAGCAUGGCCUAUCGAGCCUUUAGACUUUAUGAGUUUUUAGCUAGAGGUGUCAGAAAAGUUACCACAGGGAUAACUGGCUUGUGGGAGCCAAGCGUUCAUAGUGACGUUGCUUCUUGAUCCUUCGAUGUCGGCUCUUCCUAUCAUAGCGAAGUAGAACUCGCUAAGUGUUGGAUUGUUCACCCACUAACAUGAGCUCCUUCGUGAGACAGGUUAGUUUUACCCUACUGAUG
This 547-nucleotide ribosomal RNA is filed under the name Nematostella vectensis (starlet sea anemone). RNAcentral describes it as "Eukaryotic large subunit ribosomal RNA". It matches the Rfam family "Eukaryotic large subunit ribosomal RNA", at positions 2392 to 3002 of the family's 3401-position model. The record is from Rfam by way of RNAcentral. Lineage: Eukaryota; Metazoa; Cnidaria; Anthozoa; Actiniaria; Edwardsiidae.